RNAcentral lists this ribosomal RNA (429 nucleotides) under Bacteroidota bacterium. RNAcentral describes it as "Bacteroidetes bacterium partial 16S ribosomal RNA". It matches the Rfam family "Bacterial small subunit ribosomal RNA", at positions 355 to 776 of the family's 1533-position model. The record is from RNAcentral. Lineage: Bacteria; Pseudomonadati; Bacteroidota.
UAGGGAAUCUUCGGCAAUGGGGGGAACCCUGACCGAGCAACGCCGCGGGAGUGAAGAAGGUUUUCGGAUCGUAAAGCCCUGUUGUUAAGGAAGAACGAGUGUGAGAAUGGAAAGUUCAUGCUGUGACGGUACUUAACCAGAAAGGGACGGCUAACUACGUGCCAGCAGCCGCGGUAAUACGUAGGUCCCGAGCGUUGUCCGGAUUUAGUGGGCGUAAAGCGAGCGCAGGCGGUUAGAAAAGUCUGAAGUGAAAGGCAGUGGCUCAACCAUUGUAGGCUUUGGAAACUGUUUAACUUGAGUGCAGAAGGGGAGAGUGGACUUCCAUGUGUGGCGGUGAAAUGCGUAGAUAUAUGGAGGAACACCGGUGGCGAAGGCGGCUCUCUGGUCUGUAACUGACGCGGAGGCUCGAAAGCGUGGGGAGCGAACAGG